GUCCUUUUGUGGUUAAAUAAAAGGUCGUACCUGCCCAAUGUAAGUGAAUGGCCGCGGUAUUAUGACCGUGCGAAGGUAGCAUAAUCAAUAGUCCACUAAUUGUGGUCUGGAAUGAAUGGUUUGACGGGGAGUAGCUUUCUUGGGCUAAUUGGUGAAUUUAAGUUGUUAGUAAAAACGCUGACAUGUUUAAGGAGGACGAGAAGACCCUAUAGAGCUUUAUAUAAGUGUUAUUGUUGAUGGUAUUGAGUUUAACAGUUAUAUUUUGUUGGGGCGACAGUGGGUAGGAGAAACACCCAUUAUUUUGGGCUAUUAUUAUAGGUAAAUGAUCCACUAUUAGUGAUUGGAAGACUAAGUUACCUUAGGGAUAACAGCGUUAUUUCAUUUUAGAGUUCUUAUCGAUAAUGAAGUUUGCGNCCUCGAUGUUGGAUUAGAAUUCCUUUUAGGNGUA
RNAcentral lists this ribosomal RNA (448 nucleotides) under Alipes crotalus. Its description in RNAcentral is "partial 16S ribosomal RNA". It matches the Rfam family "Bacterial large subunit ribosomal RNA", at positions 1829 to 2557 of the family's 2925-position model. The record is from RNAcentral. Lineage: Eukaryota; Metazoa; Arthropoda; Chilopoda; Scolopendromorpha; Scolopendridae.